UGAGGAAUAUUGGUCAAUGGGCGAGAGCCUGAACCAGCCAAGUCGCGUGAAGGAAGACAGUCCUAAGGAUUGUAAACUUCUUUUAUACGGGAAUAACGGGCGAUACGAGUAUUGCAUUGAAUGUACCGUAAGAAUAAGCAUCGGCUAACUCCGUGCCAGCAGCCGCGGUAAUACGGAGGAUGCGAGCGUUAUCCGGAUUUAUUGGGUUUAAAGGGUGCGUAGGUUGUUCGGUAAGUCAGCGGUGAAACCUGAGCGCUCAACGUUCAGCCUGCCGUUGAAGAUGCCGGGCUUGAGUUCAGUGGCGGCAGGCGGAAUUCGUGGUGUAGCGGUGAAAUGCAUAGGUAUCACGAGGAACUCCGAUUGCGAAGGCAGCUUGCCAUACUGCGACUGACACUGAAGCACGAAGGCGUGGGUAUCAAACAGG
Molecule: ribosomal RNA, 424 nt
Filed under: Fusobacteriota bacterium
Lineage: Bacteria; Fusobacteriati; Fusobacteriota
Description: Fusobacteria bacterium partial 16S ribosomal RNA
Rfam family: Bacterial small subunit ribosomal RNA
Source: RNAcentral